GAUUAAACAAUCAAGAGCGCAGGGUGGAUGCCUUGGCACUAAGAGCCGAAGAAAGACGUGAUAAGCUGCGAAAAGCUUUGGGGAGCUGCAAAUAAGCAUUGAUCCAGAGAUAUCUGAAUGGGGAAACCCGGCUGGAAAGACUCCAGUCAUCCAUACGCCAAUACAUAACGUGUGGAAGGGAACCCGGUGAACUGAAACAUCUAAGUAGCCGGAGGAAGAGAAAGAAAAAUCGAUUUCCAAAGUAGCGGCGAGCGAAAUGGAAAGAGGGCAAACCGAGAUGCGUGCAUUUCGGGGUUCGGACCGCAUAAUUGAUUCAAGAGUUUUAGCAGAAUGGUUUUGGGAAAGCCAGCCAAAGAGAGUGAAAGCCUCGUAAGCGAAAAGAUAAUUGACAUGGCGGUAUCCAGAGUAGGACGAGACACGUGAAACCUUGUCUGAACGCGCGGGGACCACCCCGUAACCCUAAAUACUUCUUAGUGACCGAUAGCGCAUAGUACUGUGAAGGAAAGGUGAAAAGAACCCCG
Molecule: ribosomal RNA, 521 nt
Filed under: Pseudobutyrivibrio ruminis
Lineage: Bacteria; Bacillati; Bacillota; Clostridia; Lachnospirales; Lachnospiraceae
Description: bacterial LSU rRNA
Rfam family: Bacterial large subunit ribosomal RNA
Source: RNAcentral